AGUGAACGCUGGCGGUAGGCCUAACACAUGCAAGUCGAACGGCAGCACAGUAAGAGCUUGCUCUUACGGGUGGCGCGUGGCGGACGGGUGAGGUAUACAUCGGAAUCUACUUUUUCGUGGGGGAUAACGUAGGGAAACUUACGCUAAUACCGCAUACGACCUACGGGUGAAAGCAGGGGAUCUUCGGACCUUGCGCGAUUGAAUGAGCCGAUGUCGGAUUAGCUAGUUGGCGGGGUAAGGCCCAACCAGGCGACGAUCCGUAGCUGGUCUGAGAGGAUGAUCAGCCACACUGGAACUGAGACACGGUACAGACUCCUACGGGAGGCAGCAGUGGGGAAUAUUGGACAAUGGGCGCAAGCCUGAUCCAGCCAUACCGCGUGGGUGAAGAAGGCCUUCGGGUUGUAAAGCCCUUUUGUUGGGAAAGAAAAGCAGCAGGUUAAUACCCCGCUGUUCUGACGGUACCAAAAGAAUAAGCACCGGCUAACUUCGUG
Molecule: ribosomal RNA, 491 nt
Filed under: uncultured bacterium
Lineage: Bacteria
Description: partial 16S ribosomal RNA
Rfam family: Bacterial small subunit ribosomal RNA
Source: RNAcentral